Molecule: ribosomal RNA, 254 nt
Filed under: uncultured bacterium
Lineage: Bacteria
Description: partial 16S ribosomal RNA
Rfam family: Bacterial small subunit ribosomal RNA
Source: RNAcentral
UACGGAGGGUGCAAGCGUUGUUCGGAUUUAUUGGGCGUAAAGCGCGUGUAGGCGGUCUCUUAAGUCUGAUGUGAAAGCCCCGGGCUCAACCCGGGAAGUGCAUUGGAUACUGGGAGACUUGAAUACGGGAGAGGGUAGUGGAAUUCCUAGUGUAGGAGUGAAAUCCGUAGAUAUUAGGAGGAACACCGGUGGCGAAGGCGGCUACCUGGACCGAUAUUGACGCUGAGACGCGAAAAGCGUGGGGAGCAAACAGG